GCCCCUGUAGCAUAGUCGCUAUUGCGGUUGACUCGUAAUCAACAGGUCGUGAGUUCAAGUCUCACCAGGGGCU
RNAcentral lists this transfer RNA (73 nucleotides) under Candidatus Woesearchaeota archaeon. Its description in RNAcentral is "tRNA-Thr". It matches the Rfam family "tRNA". From Rfam's summary of the family: Transfer RNA (tRNA) molecules are approximately 80 nucleotides in length. Their secondary structure includes four short double-helical elements and three loops (D, anti-codon, and T loops). Further hydrogen bonds mediate the characteristic L-shaped molecular structure. tRNAs have two regions of fundamental functional importance: the anti-codon, which is responsible for specific mRNA codon recognition, and the 3' end, to which the tRNAs corresponding amino acid is attached (by aminoacyl-tRNA synthetases). tRNAs cope with the degeneracy of the genetic code in two manners: having more than one tRNA (with a specific anti-codon) for a particular amino acid; and 'wobble' base-pairing, i.e. permitting non-standard base-pairing at the 3rd anti-codon position. Lineage: Archaea; Nanobdellati; Candidatus Woesearchaeota. The record is from RNAcentral.